RNAcentral lists this ribosomal RNA (510 nucleotides) under marine sediment bacterium ISA-3185. RNAcentral describes it as "bacterial SSU rRNA". It matches the Rfam family "Bacterial small subunit ribosomal RNA", at positions 52 to 550 of the family's 1533-position model. The record is from RNAcentral.
UACCAUGCAGUCGAGCGGUAGCACAGAAGAAGCUUGCUUCUUGGGUGACGAGCGGCGGACGGGUGAGUAACGCGUGGGGAAUCUACCUGGUAGUGGGGGACAACAGUCGGAAACGACUGCUAAUACCGCAUACGCCCUUCGGGGGAAAGUGGGGGAUCUUCGGACCUCACGCUAUCAGAUGAGCCCGCGUCGGAUUACCUUGUUGGUGAGGUAAGAGCUCACCAAGGCGAUGAUCCGUAGCUGGUCUGAGAGGAUGACCAGCCACACUGGGACUGAGACACGGCCCAUACUCCUACGGGAGGCAGCAGUGGGGAAUAUUGGACAAUGGGGGCAACCCUGAUCCAGCCAUGCCGCGUGUGUGAAGAAGGCCUUCGGGUUGUAAAGCACUUUCAGCAGUGAGGAAAGGUGAGAGGCUAAUACCCUUUUGCUGUGACGUUAACUGCAAAGAAGGACCGGCUAACUCCGUGCCAGCAGCCGCGGUAAUACAGAGGGUCCGAGCGUUAAUCGGAA